CAGCAGCUCAAGUGGUGGUCGUUAUUAUUGGGCUUAAAGCGUCCGUAGCCGGCUUAGCAAGUUUCCUGUUAAACUCAGCGACUCAAUCGUUGGAUCGCGGGAAAUACUACUAGGCUAGGAGGCGGGAGAGGUCAACGGUACUUCUGGGGUAGGGGUGAAAUCCUAUAAUCCCAGGAGGACCACCAGUGGCGAAGGCUGUUGAUUAGAACGCGCUCGACGGUGAGGGACGAAAGCUGGGGGAGCGAACCGGAUUAGAUACCCGAGUAGUCC
RNAcentral lists this ribosomal RNA (270 nucleotides) under uncultured archaeon. Its description in RNAcentral is "partial 16S ribosomal RNA". It matches the Rfam family "Archaeal small subunit ribosomal RNA", at positions 477 to 747 of the family's 1478-position model. The record is from RNAcentral.